RNAcentral lists this ribosomal RNA (253 nucleotides) under uncultured bacterium. Its description in RNAcentral is "partial 16S ribosomal RNA". It matches the Rfam family "Bacterial small subunit ribosomal RNA", at positions 524 to 776 of the family's 1533-position model. The record is from RNAcentral.
UACAGAGGUCUCGAGCGUUGUUCGGAUUCAUUGGGCGUAAAGGGUGCGUAGGUGGCGCUGUAAGUCGGGUGUGAAAUCCUGAGGCUUAACCUCGGAACUGCAUUCGAUACUGCGGUGCUUGAGGACUGGAGAGGAGACUGGAAUUCAUGGUGUAGCAGUGAAAUGCGUAGAGAUCAUGAGGAAGGCCAGUGGCGAAGGCGGGUCUCUGGACAGUUCCUGACACUGAGGCACGAAGGCCAGGGGAGCAAACGGG